Non-coding RNA from Macaca mulatta (Rhesus monkey), 1916 nucleotides. NCBI's taxonomy places the organism in Eukaryota, Metazoa, Chordata, Mammalia, Primates, Cercopithecidae. The record is from RefSeq and is a predicted model, not a curated record.
AUGAAGUAUGGCCGCUCUCCAUCUCAGUCCCUGGAAGUUGUCCAGAGUCGCCUGAGAAUCCCUGCUCUGGGGGCGGAAUCACCGGGACUCAUCCUGGCCAGCUCCCCACAGUCUGUAGCAGGACUUUCCUGCCAGGUGCAGGGCACAGGAAUGGUUCUCCCUGUCUCUUGGAGGCAGCGCCAAGAAGAGGCCUUUGCCGCUGGUAGGGAUUGGGAAGUAGAAGAACACAGUGUCGUCGGCCGGUUCCGGAAGGUGGACGUGGAUGAAUAUGACGAGAACAAGCUCGUGGACGAAGAAGAUGGGGGCGACGGCCAGGCCAGCCCGAUGAGGGCGAGGUGGGCUCAUGCCUGCGGCAAGGAAACAUGACAGCUGCCCUACAGGCAGCUCUGAAGAACCUCCCCAUCAACACCAAGAGUCAGGCAGUGAAGGACCGGGCAGGCAGCAUUGUGUUGAAGGUGCUCAUCUCUUUUAAAGCUAAUGAUAUUGAAAAGGCAGUUCAAUCUCUGGACAAGAAUGGUGUGGAUCUCCUAAUGAAGUGUAUUUAUAAAGGAUUUGGGAGCCCCUCUGACAAUAGCAGUGCUGUGUUACUGCAAUGGCAUGAAAAGUCACUUGCUGCUGGAGGAGUAGGGUCCAUUGUUCGUGUCUUGACUGCAAGAAAAACCGUGUAGUCUGGCAGGAAGUGGAAAUCUGCCUCGGGAGUGGGAAUUGUUGGUACAAAGACCAAAACAACCAAAUGCCACCGCUGCCCUGUGGGUAGCAUCUGUUUCUCUCAACUUUGCCUUCUUGCUUUUUCAUAUCUGUAAAGAAGAAACUUACAUAUCACUUUUCCUUUAAUGAAAAUUGGGAUAAUAUAGAAGAAAUUGUGUUAAAAUAUAAAUGUUUCAUCCUUUCAAAAUCAUUUCAGUGAUGUUUAUACCAGUCUGUAUAUAGUAUAAUUAACAUUCAAGUUUAAUUGUGCAAUUUUUAACCCCUAUUGGCUGGUUUUUUGUUUUGUUUUGUGUUAUUUUUACCUAAUACUGAGAGAUUUGGUCAGAAUUUGAGGCCAGUUUCCUAGUUCAUUGCUAGUCGGGAAAUGAUAUUUAUAAAAACUAUGAGAGACUGGCAGCUAUUAACAUUGCAAAACUGGACCAUAUUUCCCUUAUUUAAGCAAAAUAUGUUUCUGGAGUAAGUGGUGGGUGCAUACCGCUACCGAGUUCUAGCUUUGUUUUUGCUUGCCUCCUGAUCAUCUGUACUGUGGGUUUAAGUGUGCUACUUUCUCUCAGCAUCCAAUAAUCAUGGCCUCUCAAUUUAUUUGUGGUCACCCAGGGUUCAGAGCAAGAAGUCUUGCUCUAUACAAAUGUAUCCAUAAAAUAUCAGAGCUUGUUGGGCCUGAACAUCAAACUUUUGUUCCAAUAAUAUGGCUCUGUUUGGAAAAAACUGCAAAUCAGAAAGAGUGAUUUGCAGAAAGAAAGAAAAACUAUGGUGUAAUUCAAACUCUGGGCAGCCUCUGAAUGAAAUGCUACUUUCUUUAGAAAUAUAAUAGCUGCCUUAGACAUGAUGAGGUAUACAACUAGCAUUUAAGAUACUAUUUAAUAUGCCCUAUAAAUGUCUUCAGUGUUCUUCAGGGUAAUUAGGAUCUCAGAAGACUUGGUUCAGAUCCGAACAAAUACACAUUCUUUGUUUUAGCUCAGUGUUUUUUUAAAAAAGAAACUGCCACACAGCAAACAAUUGUUUACUUUAUUGGACAAACCAAAUCAGUUCUCAAAAAAUGACCGGUGCUUAUAAAAUGUUAUAAAUAUCCAGUAGUUCCAAAACAAACCACCUGACCAAGAGGGAAGUCAGCUUGUGAUUAGUAUUUACAUUGGACACCAGUUUUGUAAUCACUGACUUAUGUGCAAACUGGUGCAGAAAUUCUAUAAACUCAUUGCUGAUUUUGA